UACGUAGGGUGCAAGCGUUGUCCGGAAUUAUUGGGCGUAAAGAGCUCGUAGGCGGUUUUUUACGUCGGCUGUGAAAACCUGGGGCUCAACCCCGGGCCUGCAGCCGAUACGGGCAAACUAGAAUUCGGUAGGGGAGACUGGAAUUCCUGGUGUAGCGGUGAAAUGCGCAGAUAUCAGGAGGAACACCGGUGGCGAAGGCGGGUCUCUGGGCCGAUAUUGACGCUGAGGAGCGAAAGCGUGGGGAGCGAACAGG
RNAcentral lists this ribosomal RNA (253 nucleotides) under uncultured bacterium. RNAcentral describes it as "partial 16S ribosomal RNA". It matches the Rfam family "Bacterial small subunit ribosomal RNA", at positions 524 to 776 of the family's 1533-position model. The record is from RNAcentral.